GCUAAGUCUGCCCAGUGAUGUAAAUACGUUUAACGGCCGCAGUACAUUGACUNUGCUAAGGUAGCAUAAUAAUUUGUCUUUUAAUUGAAGACUGGAAUGAAAGGCAUCAUGGGGAUAAGCUGUCUUAUAUUUAUUUUCUUAAAUUUGCUUAGGAGGUGAAAAUUCCUCUACGAAGAACAUAAGACGAGAAGACCCUUAGAAUUAUUAACAACACAGUAGUGACUGAAAAGUUUUUGUUGGGGCAACAUUAUCAGAGAUUAACUGAUAUCGCUUGAAGUUUUACAAUACCAUUGUAUUGAGUAGGAAUUUAAUUACCUAAGGGAUAACAGCAUAAUUCAAGUAUGAGAGUAUGACCUCGAUGUUGGACUAGGGACUUUUUACACUAGCCGUGUAUGAAGAUUGUUCUGUUCGAACAGUAGUACCCUACGUGAUCUGAGU
RNAcentral lists this ribosomal RNA (438 nucleotides) under Mastus itanosensis. Its description in RNAcentral is "partial 16S ribosomal RNA". It matches the Rfam family "Bacterial large subunit ribosomal RNA", at positions 1852 to 2610 of the family's 2925-position model. Lineage: Eukaryota; Metazoa; Mollusca; Gastropoda; Stylommatophora; Enidae. The record is from RNAcentral.